RNAcentral lists this ribosomal RNA (253 nucleotides) under uncultured prokaryote. RNAcentral describes it as "partial 16S ribosomal RNA". It matches the Rfam family "Bacterial small subunit ribosomal RNA", at positions 524 to 776 of the family's 1533-position model. The record is from RNAcentral.
GACAGAGGUGGCAAGCGUUGUUCGGAUUUACUGGGCGUAAAGCGUACGUAGGUGGUCGAAUAAGUCUGUUGUGAAAUCCCCCCGCUUAACGGGGGAACUGCAGUAGAUACUGUUUAACUAGAGGAUGGGAGAGGAGAGUGGAAUUCCCGGUGUAGCGGUGAAAUGCGUAGAGAUCGGGAAGAACACCGGUGGCGAAGGCGGCUCGCUGGGCCAAUGCUGACGCUGAUGCGCGAAAGCGUGGGGAGCAAACAGG